GUUUCAUAAAUGAAAACUAGACAAACUUGCAGAACUAUUUGAAAGUUUUAGUAGUCCGUUUAUAAGAACCGAUGACGAAACACAAUUUCCAUCCCAUUAUUACAUUUUGACGUUCUGCAUUUCUCCGUAUAUUCUCUACACCCAGGUGUAUAUAUCACAGAAUUUCAUAAUCUGGCUAAAAUUAGUUCAAGUUGUUAUUGUAUGAAAACUAUCUUAUUUUCAAUACUGAAAUCUAUCUUUGUUUUUUUUAUUUAAUGUCACACGAACAUAAAGU
Molecule: long non-coding RNA, 274 nt
Filed under: Mytilus galloprovincialis (Mediterranean mussel)
Lineage: Eukaryota; Metazoa; Mollusca; Bivalvia; Mytilida; Mytilidae
Source: RNAcentral